ACUCGAAGCAAGGAUUUUUUUUUAAACGAGAAAAUCCACGAGUAAGAAAACACCAAGUUGCAUAACCAUUCUCCUCCCUCACACCUAAACAUUACAUUGUCCUCAAUGUAUGAAAGUAAAUAGAAAGGAAAAAUAAGAGGACUUCCUUGACAAAGGAGAGCAAGUGUUGUCAAGCUCUAAGUGUGAGAGGGAGUAAGAGGUGUGAAUCCAACCGAGGUGAAGAAAGCAUCCAAGUUCCGUUCCAUCCGAGACAUUUGCUGCUCAAUCUUGGAGAGGCGAUUAUCCAACUACUGAAAUUGAUCAUCAAAAGAAGAAGAAGUUGGCGCUACAGUUGAGGAGUCAAUUCCAUCUACAACUCGAGCAGUACGGGAAGAAAUGAUAGGCUUAGGACCCUACCUAACCAUGAGUCUAAUCUCUCUCGGUGGUGUAAACUGAUAACAAUCAUCUUUAUACUCAAUGACCCCCAUCCUCGCUAAACAAACCAAAUCCAAAGGUUCUGACUAGCAAGCAACAUGUAAAUCUUUAUCUUCAUCAAGGUUUAGCACACCAAGUUGGAUAGCCAAAUUAGUGAUAAGGGAACAUAAAAUGAUUGGCUUAUUUUUCUUUGUGAGCAUCAUUUGAAAUUGUGUCGCUACCCAAAAAUCAAAAUUUACUUUGACAUUGUUCAACAUACACCAAAUAAAAUAAAAUUCAGCUUUUUUCAUAGUUCCCAAAGCAUCCUUCCUGUUAGAAAAAAUUAAAGGGCAAAAAACCUUUGAAUAUAUUUCAAAAUCGGGUCUUUAAAAUAAGAAGUCUUAGAUUGACUAGGGUCAUAGCUAAACUUAUCAAUUGACAUCUCUUUCCAAAUCCUGACAUAAUAAGAAGCAAAGUGUUCAAUAUAGUCACAAACACUCGCUAGACAUUCCCUAGAUUUAACUAAAUGUUCAUCAAUGAAACCUAAGUAGUAAUUAAACUCAGUAAUUGAGUGACUCAAAUCAACCCCGAAUAACCUAAAACUAGCCACAUUUGGAGUAUCUAAUGAAAAGUUGUCCGAUUUCACAAAUUUGGAAGUACUAUAAAAUUUCCAGUACAAUUCAAGCAAAGUGGGAUAAUUAAGUGUCAAAUAGUGCUGCCACUAAAUUGCUAUAAAUAAUCUUUUCACCUCAGUCAAAAUAUUUAAUUGUCCCAAUGUAGGAGUAUGAAUGUACUUACAAGAAGCAAAUGUUUGAGACUUCAAAAUGUGUAAUGUAUCUAUUUGUUCCUUGGUGAGUUGAGUAAGUUCACCCCCUAAUUCGGAAGUAGAAUGUGGUAAUACUCCCUUGAUGAUGCCAAUCUCGAUUGCUUCUUAGGCUCUGUUGGGACUCCUCAUUUCUUAUUCAGUUCUAGAAUCGAUUGGAGAGUCUUGGGUUUGAAGCUUGGUUCCUCUUGUUUUGGCCAUUGUCAAAUUUGUCCUACAAAAUAAGAAAAGGUUAUCAAUGAAAAAAAUUGUUUAAUUAUAAUUGCUGAUAGUUUCUUCAAAGAUGUUGGGAUUGAGUUCCAUUAAACAAAUAGCAAUGUAAACCUGUGAAGCACAAAUGGUGACUAAUAAUUGACAAUAUGCAAAGCAACAAGUUAAGCAACUUCCAACAAAUUUGAGAACAAACUUCAAGAGCAAAUAAGUUAGGCAACUUCAAACGGUGGCCACUGAAAAAACUAAUUGCAUUCAAUUUCUUGGUUUCUAGCCGACAACAACCUUGACAAUAGCCUUGAGAAUCAGUGGUAACGUCGAAUGCCAGCAAGCCAACACCAAAUGACAACGAACGGAGAUGGAGAUGACGAAGAUUUUGCUGAAUAGAUGACAACUCCAAGCAACUGGGAAGCAACGAUAUUUGAUGGUUAUUUCCCCAAAACUUGAAGUUUCAAUUAAAGCUUGUGAGCCACUGCAAUCUUUACGAACAACCUGAGUUUUUUGUGGCUUUAAAAAGAGAAAGAAGAAAAAUAGUAUUCACAAUGGAAAAGGAUUAUGAACCAAAAAGGAAUUGUUUCUUGUUUCUUUUUUUUUUAAUGGAAGAAAAGGAUUCUAAUAGCUGCAAAGAACAAAAUCGAAAGAAAAGUAUUCAGAUAGCUACUAAGAAGACCAAAGUAAAAAAGGACGUUUUUUUUUGGUAUUUGAGUGCUAGGUAGAAAACUUCAUCUUGUAACACUUGGGGCAUGAUUUUGAAAUUUAGUCUUCCGAUUGUCGUGCCCCAUUUUUCGCGAUGAAAAUAAGUAUUUACAAAAGAUGUGAUUUUAUUUAAAAAUAAAUGAAAAAGGAUCUAGAAUGGGACUUUAAAGAAUGCGACAGUUUGGGUUCAAAAUUUAGUCUAAAAGGAUUUUUAAGAAAAAAAAGGACUCGUCACUUGGUAUUGAGUUUGGGUGUACCAAGUCACCAAAAAAUAUUUUUGAUAAAAAUGAAAUAAAAUAAAACCCUUUUUGACAACUCCAAAACUUUGAAAAACAAGAGAAAAUGAUUUUAGGAGUCACGGUUGAAGAAAAGAAAGGCAAAUGCUCGAUUAAUUCAAACUUAAGGCACCCUCUCAACCUAGUCUAAACUAGUUGCGAGAUUUAGUCAAAAAUUUUCCUAAUCUAACCCUUAAAUUUAUCACGUUUGAAUGUUUCCUACAUAAAUGCAAAUCUAAAUUUAUAAAAACGUCGAGAGGGACAAAAUGUCCAUUCAAGAGUUUAAUUAAUACCAAUCGCAUUAAUUGCAAAGGUCAAAAUAAUUCCUUAAAUGGGUCACGAGUAUGCGAAUGAUGAAAUUAAAAAAAAAGUUAAAUUAUAUAUAUAUAAAUAUAAGUGGCCAAAGAAUAGGGAAUGCAACAUAAUGGGUAUGAAAGGCAAAAACUCAUGACAUAAUUUUCUUAUAUAGGGAUUAAUGGGGUAUUUGAACUAAAAAGUUAUAAUUACCCAUUUCUCAUGUUUGAAGAAUAAUUCUUCUAACAUGAACAAGCAAAUGAACUAACUUAUUUUACAAUUUCUUAAAUAAGGUGCAAUCCUAAAUGACAUGAGACACAUAUACAGGGUAGGUGAUAAUAUAAUAAAAAAUAUCAUGCAAAUGAGAAAAUAUUCUAAAAUAAAAAUAUGCAUGAAAAUGUAAUGAAUGCCACACAAAAAUGAAUCUGACGCACGAACGAUCUAAGAGUCUAGCAUUGGACUAACCUAUUUCUAAAAAUCUUUACUAGCGUUGGACUAGCAAGUAAACGGAGGGAGAAGCCACAACUAGCGUUGAACUAGUGUGGUGAUGUCAUGUAUUCUUAAUACAUAGUAAGACAAACAAGGCAUAAAUUAAAACAAAUAAACAUGUAAGAGCGCGUAGCACAUAACUCAUAAAUAUAAUAUUUAUAUGCAAAAAUCCUAACAAAAGUGAAUAAAGCACAUAACACAUAAGCCACAUAACACGCAAAAACCUAUUUAUUACAGUGGGGAAUCUAACUACAAUCUAAAAUGGAGAAAUAAAAAAUCCUAUCUACCCUAUCUAUUACAAUAGGGGACCUAAUUACAAUCUAAAAUGAAAAAUAUAAUAAAACAAAUCUAGGUAUCCUAUCUAUUAUAUUUUUGAGGUAUUUAAAUGCCUCUCAAAUAAUUAUAAAAAUUAACUAAACAAAUAUAAAAAAUUUUGAAUGAACAUUUAAAUCAAAUAAAUAAAGCAUAUACAAAUAUUUAAACACAUAGGAACACGUAGGAGCACGUAAGAGCACGUAAUUGACAUUAAAAUACUAAUAAUAGGGGUACCUCUCUUUUGAAGUGGUGACUAAAUGGAGUCAAAUUGCCCUAUUUAUACUCAAAAUAAACAAAAGAAUCAUGACACUAAUUUAAUUGAAAAAUAAUAAUAAUGAUAAAAAUACUAAAUUCACUUUAAUAUGUCAAAUGUAAAGAAAUUUAAGAACAUAUAAAAAUUACAAGUUAAAUAUAUUCAAAAGUAACAUAAUUAGCUAUUAAAGAAAAAAAACAAUCAUAAUAAAAAGAGUUAAAAUUCACUAGGGACUAAAUUGCAAAAGUAAAAAACUUUUAGGGCCAAAAAUAUAAGUUUUCUAAAGUUUAGGGGUCAAAAUUAAAUAAAUGAUAAAGUUUAGGGAGCAAAGCACAAUUAUUUUAAGGGUCUAAGUGAAAGAUAUUUAAAAUUUUCUAGGUCAUAAUAAAAUUACUCCAAAAAUCAGGGGCUAAAGUGAAAAUUUUGGUUUCUGAUUUGGGCAAAGAAAAGCCAUCAGGCCUUUCUUUUAUUUUUGCUUGGGCCGGAACCAUCUGGCCCGGAAGAAACAGGUGGGCUAUUUUUAAUGAAAAUAAACACAAGCCCAGAUGAAAAAACCCUAAAGAAAGAAGACCCUAACCCAACCGAAAUUAAAGAAAAUGGCCCAUCAAACAAUAAACAUUUGCCCAAUUCUUUUUCCUUCUUUUUCUUUUCUUUCCUUUCUUUUCUUUUCUUUCCUUCUCCUUCUCUUUUCUUCUUCUUUUUCCUUCUUCUUCCACCCGAGAAGCUAAAGCUUACUUCCUGCUAGCGGCUAUGGCCGCCUGCGGUGGCACCACCGCCAGAUGCAGGCAAAUUUUUCGGUCACCAAAUUUUCUCAAAAUGCACUCUCUCACUCGAUUUUUCAUGUAGAUUCCAUUUUUUAAGUUAGUUUUUACAAAAAAAAUUACCCGAAAGUGACCAAAAUACUAAGAAAUCAAUCCAAUUUUUUUUUAAACACUCAAAUCUUCACCAAAAAUCACAUAAUUUAUACUACAACACUCAUUGUGAUUUUUACAACAUAACUAUGAACUGAAAUCAAUAAAAGUAACAACACAUAUGACAAAAUUAAAUCAAAACAAUCCAAAAAAUAAAAUAAAAAAUCCUUCAAUGCUUUUAAGGCUCAAAAUCUCUAAAACUUUGGACAACCAAACAUUUUCGGACCUACACUAGCGAAUGGUCAUCUAUUUUGACAAAAAAACAUGCACAAUGUUCAGCUUUUUAAUUCGUUUUUCCUUUUUGGCAUUUUAUCAAACAUGUAGCAUGCAUACACAAAAGCUAUUUCUCUUUCUUUAAUCUUACUUGUAACUUAACCUCAAUAUUUAACAACACAACAGCAACAAUAAAACCCAACAAAAGCAAGAGAAACUAGGCAAUCAACAUGAAUUUAAUUUGCUAAAAAAAAUUGAGAGAUACCUCACCGAAAGUGGAGUUUCUUGAUUAAAAUGUUUUGAUGAAAUUCCAAACCUCCAACUGUCCAAUGGCUUGCUUUCUUUUGUGUUUGACUUGUCGGUGGGUGUGUGAAAUUGAGAGGGGGAAAGGGAGAGGAGAACCG
Molecule: long non-coding RNA, 5276 nt
Filed under: Coffea arabica (coffee)
Lineage: Eukaryota; Viridiplantae; Streptophyta; Magnoliopsida; Gentianales; Rubiaceae
Description: long non-coding RNA (CARA_LNC001331)
Source: RNAcentral